UUGCUCUGUCCUAAGUCAAACUUAUCCAACUUUGACCAAGUUCAUAGAAAAAUAUAACAACUAUACCACCAAACAUAUGCACUAUCAAAAUAUAUUCCAUGGUGGAUUUAAUGAAACAAAUUUGGUGUUGUAGAUGUUAUAUUUUUCUACUAACUUGGUCAAAGUUGGACAAGUUUGACUUAGGACAAAGCAAA
Molecule: microRNA precursor, 194 nt
Filed under: Setaria italica (foxtail millet)
Lineage: Eukaryota; Viridiplantae; Streptophyta; Magnoliopsida; Poales; Poaceae
Description: MIR1435 microRNA precursor family
Rfam family: MIR1435 microRNA precursor family
Source: Rfam by way of RNAcentral